This 92-nucleotide transfer RNA is filed under the name Pleurotus ostreatus (oyster mushroom). RNAcentral describes it as "tRNA-Asp". The record is from RNAcentral. Lineage: Eukaryota; Fungi; Basidiomycota; Agaricomycetes; Agaricales; Pleurotaceae.
UCUCUGUUAGUAUAUCGGUUAGUACACGCGCCUGUCACCCGUCGCAACAUAGAGGGUCGCGCGAAAGCUGGGUUCGACUCCCAGACAGAGAG